Molecule: ribosomal RNA, 253 nt
Filed under: uncultured bacterium
Lineage: Bacteria
Description: partial 16S ribosomal RNA
Rfam family: Bacterial small subunit ribosomal RNA
Source: RNAcentral
UACGUAGGGUGCAAGCGUUAAUCGGAAUUACUGGGCGUAAAGCGUGCGCAGGCGGUGUUGUAAGUCAGUUGUGAAAUCCCCGGGCUCAACCUGGGAACUGCAUUUGUGACUGCAUUGCUGGAGUGCGGCAGAGGGGGAUGGAAUUCCGCGUGUAGCAGUGAAAUGCGUAGAUAUGCGGAGGAACACCGAUGGCGAAGGCAAUCCCCUGGGCCUGCACUGACGCUCAUGCACGAAAGCGUGGGGAGCAAACAGG